This 460-nucleotide ribosomal RNA is filed under the name uncultured bacterium. RNAcentral's name for it is "partial 16S ribosomal RNA". It matches the Rfam family "Bacterial small subunit ribosomal RNA", at positions 338 to 795 of the family's 1533-position model. The record is from RNAcentral.
CCUACGGGGGGCAGCAGUGAGGAAUAUUGGUCAAUGGACGAGAGUCUGAACCAGCCAAGUAGCGUGAAGGAUGAAUGCCCUAUGGUUUGUAAACUUCUUUUAUAUGGGAAUAAAAUGUUCCACGUGUGGGAUUUUGUAUGUACCAUAUGUAUAAGGAUCGUCUAACUCCGUGCCAGCAGCCGCGGUACUACGUAGGAUCCGAGCGUUAUCAGGAUUUAUUGGGUGUAAAGGGAGCGUAGGUGGAUUGUUAAGUCAGUUGUGAAAGUUUGCGGCUCAAACGUAAAAUUGCCGUUGAAACUGGCAGUCUUGAGUACAGUAGAGGUGGGCGGAAUGCGUGGUGUAGCGGUGAAAUGCUUAGAGAUCACGAAGAACUCCGAUUGCGAAGGCAGCUCACUGGACUGCAACUGACACUGAGGCUCGAAAGUGUGGGUAUCAAACAGGAUUAGAUACCCUGGUAGUC